This 725-nucleotide ribosomal RNA is filed under the name Campylobacter coli. RNAcentral's name for it is "bacterial LSU rRNA". It matches the Rfam family "Bacterial large subunit ribosomal RNA", at positions 465 to 1188 of the family's 2925-position model. Lineage: Bacteria; Pseudomonadati; Campylobacterota; Epsilonproteobacteria; Campylobacterales; Campylobacteraceae. The record is from RNAcentral.
CCUAAAUACUAAUACCAGAUCGAUAGUGCACAAGUACCGUGAGGGAAAGGUGAAAAGAACUGAGGUGAUCAGAGUGAAAUAGAACCUGAAACCAUUUGCUUACAAUCAUUCAGAGCCCUAUGUAGCAAUACAGGGUGAUGGACUGCCUUUUGCAUAAUGAGCCUGCGAGUUGUGGUGUCUGGCAAGGUUAAGCAAACGCGAAGCCGUAGCGAAAGCGAGUCUGAAUAGGGCGCUUAGUCAGAUGCUGCAGACCCGAAACGAAGUGAUCUAUCCAUGAGCAAGUUGAAGCUAGUGUAAGAACUAGUGGAGGACUGAACCCAUAGGCGUUGAAAAGCCCCGGGAUGACUUGUGGAUAGGGGUGAAAGGCCAAUCAAACUUCGUGAUAGCUGGUUCUCUCCGAAAUAUAUUUAGGUAUAGCGUUGUGUCGUAAUAUAAGGGGGUAGAGCACUGAAUGGGCUAGGGCAUACACCAAUGUACCAAACCCUAUCAAACUCCGAAUACCUUAUAUGUAAUCACAGCAGUCAGGCGGCGAGUGAUAAAAUCCGUCGUCAAGAGGGAAACAACCCAGACUACCAGCUAAGGUCCCUAAAUCUUACUUAAGUGGAAAACGAUGUGAAGUUACUUAAACAACCAGGAGGUUGGCUUAGAAGCAGCCAUCCUUUAAAGAAAGCGUAAUAGCUCACUGGUCUAGUGAUUUUGCGCGGAAAAUAUAACGGGGCUAAAGU